RNAcentral lists this ribosomal RNA (442 nucleotides) under uncultured bacterium. Its description in RNAcentral is "partial 16S ribosomal RNA". It matches the Rfam family "Bacterial small subunit ribosomal RNA", at positions 338 to 795 of the family's 1533-position model. The record is from RNAcentral.
CCUACGGGAGGCAGCAGUAGGGAAUCUUUCACAAUGGGCGAAAGCCUGAUGGAGCCACGCCGCGUGCAGGAUGAAGGCCUUCGGGUUGUAAACUGCUUUUAUAAGCGAGAAAUAUGAUGGUAACUUAUGAAUAAGGAUCGGCUAACUACGUGCCAGCAGCCGCGGUCAUACGUAGGAUCCGAGCAUUAUCCGGAGUGACUGGGUGUAAAGAGUUGCGUAGGUGGCAUAAUAAGUAGCUAGUGAAAUCUGGUGGCUCAACCAUUCAGACUAUUAGCUAAACUGUUAAGCUCGAGACCGUGAGAGGUAACUGGAAUGCCUAGUGUAGGAGUGAAAUCCGUAGAUAUUAGAAGGAACACCAAUAGCGUAGGCAGGUUGCUGGGACGGUUCUGACACUAAGGCACGAAAGCGUAGGGAGCAAACGGGAUUAGAUACCCUAGUAGUC